CUUGAUCCUCAUUUGUACUGCU
RNAcentral lists this small nuclear RNA (22 nucleotides) under Arabidopsis thaliana (thale cress). RNAcentral describes it as "snRNA_09181". Lineage: Eukaryota; Viridiplantae; Streptophyta; Magnoliopsida; Brassicales; Brassicaceae. The record is from RNAcentral.